AAGAGUAACCGUAAGAACUACUUCCGGUUCGUCUCCAUUUUCGUGAAACUCCUCACCAUUUGGAUUAUGAAAACAUAAGUGAGAACAAAAAUAAUCGCCGAGCUAUCAUAGUUUUGUUUCUUGAUUAAAACACGACCGUCCUUUUCUUUUUCUAUCUGGGUACUGUCAUCCCUAAUCUGCACUUUGCAUUCCCUUUUUUCGUCGCUACUAUCUACCGUGACUCUUUUGGGGGAUUUUUAUGUGUCAUGUUUAUUUGUAUUAAAAACACUUAUUCCAUUUUGACCUCUCUUGCUUGCAGAAAAACACGGUACUUGCUCCUCUCCGGUAAUACAGGACGAAUACAGCUACUUCUCGACAACUCUUGACCUUUACUUCAAGUAUAAUAUAACGGUUCGUUCUAACGCAUUCGGCAUCUAGUGAGCUAAAUGGAUUUUUACGGCUUGAUUUUCCCACGAAAUUAAGCUCAGUUUAUCAUUCGAAAAUAUUAAACAUCCAGUCUAUCAUUUUUUAUUUGUGGCCAUGGUGAACUCAGAAUUAUGGCUAGUAACAUUCUGAUACGUAUGCACCAGUGGUGGCAACUAAUAUUCUGAUAUAUAUAUAUAUGCAUAAAAAUAGUUUUUUUCUGUUUCUUCUUUUAUUUUUAAUGUUAACUUCAUCGAAGUUAUAGAUCGAUUUCCUGAGUGUACGAUUCAGACCGAAGAAACUUGAUAUCGUCCUUCCACUACUAGCCUGACCACCCUUUCUGCAUGAUCUGUGAAAUAUUUGAACCAAUAAACCGAACACGGACCCUGGUUGCUGUUGUUAAUCAUGUUUGUGGUGUAAAGUUAGGAAAGAGCUUCAAAAGCGCUGAAAACGGGAUCAAAUUUGAGCAACUGGUCCGGUUGAACACAGAAAACGAUUUAUUAUUUUCAGCUUUCUCAUGAUGUCUCUUCAAUGUCCUGUUUUGGUUCUAAAAUCAUUUUCUGGCUGAUUUAUUGCAGAAAGUGCUGAAGGGUGCUGGGUUUUUAGCAAGCAAUGCAGAGAAGUAUAAACUGGCCGAGAUAUCCGCUGUGAUUAAGAACUCAACAGGUGCUUCUCCGUCGCUGGUGUGUUCUCAUGAUACCGUUCAGGAGCUACGUCUCUGCCUCCACAAGGAUUUCACGGUCAGUUAAUUCAGUGUGAGAUGUUGCCGUAAGUAAUAUUAGAUUGCCGAGAAUAGAUUCUGAUGAAUUGAUCCUUUAUAAAGGCGUAUAAGGGUGCCUUACUGCAGGCAAAUCCCUCAAAUUCAUUUAAUUUGAUAGCGUUUUCUUGAGACAAAUAUGGGUUUGUACUUUGAAGUGGAUUAUAGCGUAAACCUCUGGGUCGCCAUAUUUUAAGCAAAUAGAUCAUAACGUUCUCUUUAAUGCCUAGUAUUCAAUUGCCAUCGAAUCUUAUCCUUUAACUCCUCUGUUAAAACAGCCUCGCGACUGUGGAAUUCUCUCAAGCACCGCACAAGAUGACUUGGACCCCUGUCCACAGUAUAUCCGAUUGCCAAAGUUUACCCCCCCCUCCUAGUGAGUAACCACGGAGACCACCAAGGCUGUAAUCUCCUCUCCAUUUCUCUUUGAUGGUCCUCUAGUUUCCAUCUCAUCGGACUAACCGACUUCUCAUCUCUCUUGGACAACUCCACAGCUAGCGCUGACCUUGACCACAGAAGAGGGAGACUUCAAGCUUUUACCGCAGGAAGAAGCUCACUCGUUGAAAUAAACCACCUUGAAAAGGCAGCAACAUGAUCUUCGGCCUCGUGUUGUAAAUAAAGCAAAGAUAUUAUGAAACUACGUGCCUCAUCUGUAUUAUCUUCCUAAUUAUGGAAACAAAAUCGUGGUUUCUUUUUUCUGGAUUCCGCUAGAUUCCCUAAGACUGCAAAUGAUUUCUCAUCUGCUUCGUCGUCUCCAUCAGCUUCUCCGCAGAGCUUUCCUAAUAGGGCAGCGCGGGCGCCACACGUACAGGGUCAACCCACGAUGGCUUCUUCAUGUUAUAGUAGAAGUGGACUGUCAUCUGCACCAGCUCAUUAGCCGUCAUCAUCUCUGCAGGUCGAGAGGAGAUCGAAAGCAAUGACCCAUCUGAGAGACGAUGCCUAGAGGGGGAGCUGGUUUUGACCUUUCUCUCUUUACAGGAUUCUAUUACCCAGGAGGAACAGCAGCUGCGGGCAUUCUCUGACUUUGAGAGCGUAGGCCAGGUCAGUCUCGAUGUUCAUGUCGAUCUUCACUGUUUGCAGAUAUCAUAAGCUUUGGUGGGGAGGAUUUUAGUGGCAAAAAAUGUGCAUAGAGAUGUGGAAAGACCCAAAUAGAGGGAUGAGAAUCAGACCAUUAGGAGCAGCUGGUCUUUAGCUUUCCAAUACACCUCCGCCGGCUUAUUGAUGUAGUGGAGUUGUGAAAGAGGCAUCGAGUUGGGCUUGAAUCCACAGUUCAAAUCUUGACGGAGGAACUAAUCAGAAAUCUAUAGAUCUAUAGUCUUGAACUUUUCAAUUCAUAAGGAGAACGAUUUUUGAAUCCAUAAGAUCAGAGAUAAAACUCUUUGAAUCCAUAAGGAGGUGUUUGAAUCCACUGUCAAAAAUGGGGAGAAGUUUGCAGAAGAGAACUUCAAAAAAUUGGAAUUGAAUAUUUGGGGUCACACUUGGGCCUUUAUAUAGGGAUAGAAAGGGUUUGGGACACUACUUAAGGUUAGGUAAUUUCUGAAAUAGUAAUAGACUUCGAAAAAUUAAAAUAGACUCUAACUUUCAAAAAAAUCAAAAUAGAUUUUGAAUUACUAAAAAUAAAAAAGUUAGAAAUUGAAAUAGAGCUUGGACUGUUCUUAUAGUUUUAGGAAAACCCUUAUGAUUUUAGGUCGUUUUUUCACGUUAUCCUCUCUAAGGGCUAGUAUUACAUCUUUUGAGCUCAUCUUUUGUUUUUUAAGAGUUUUGGGCUGUUUAGGUGUUGUUGGUUUUAUCAGGCUUCUCUUCUUAAAAGGAAUUCAUCAUUGAAUUCUUUUUAUCAUCUUUUGAAUCAAUAUAAUAUUCAUAAAUUGUGCACAUUAAAUGUGUUUAAAAAAUUGAUACUAGUGGGAACUCAUUGAAAAAAAAUGUACACAUUAUUGUUGAUCCAUUGUAGCACUCUGAAUGGUCCAUACUUUUUUAUUUCAGUCUGUUAUUAGUUAUUAGGAAUCAUUAUUUUCAUAAAUAAACAAUAACAAGAUUUUCAAAUUUAAAUAUUUUCUUCUUUCUUUUCAAAUCCAUGGCUGCUUUGUACUUUCAUAAUUCAUUUAUAUGUUUUUAUUGAACACCUUAAAUUAUCUUGACAUGACUUGUCUUAUUAUUUAUUCUAAUUUUUCAUAGUAACGAGAAAAAUAAUUAACUAUAGAAAAUAGAAGCUGGUUAGUUGAAUGAUUAAUCAUAGAAUUAUAAGUGAAUUCUAUUUAUGUUAGAACAUAGUCUCAUUCUAUGAUUUUUCUCUUGAAAUACAUGAAUUAAAUUAUGGAGGAUUCUUAUCUUUGAUUUUUUACUGACUUAUCUUUGAUCAUUAGUCUUUUGGUGGUAAAUACCAUUGACUUUUAUAAAUGUAUCAAAUAUUUUUCUGAAGUAUUUUCUAAGAUUGAGAUAGAAAUUUAGAAUCUCUACCAGUUUUGAUUGAUUCAUAAAUACAAUAGAAAUGAACAAUUUUCCCAAAUAAAAGUUAUCCUACUUGGAUCACCAUUUUAUCCUCUUGUAUGUUAUAAAAUCAGUAAUUUUAAAAAAUUGAUGCAACACCACAAUAAUAGAAUCUACUGCUCUAUGUUUUCUGGGGACCUAAAAUAAAACAUAUUGAAAUGUAAGUUCAUUUGCAGUGCAAAAUUGAAAGUGAAGCAUACAAAUCAAUAUUUUGACACUAUCCCUUUGUUGACUAGACAAAUUUGUCACUUAUGUACGAAAUUUGUAACAUUCUUCUCAAUUGUGGCCAGAAAUUUCUUUUUUGACCAAGUGUAAGGUCUUGUCACUACGAAAAUGUUUUCUUAAUCAUCUAGAUUGGAAUUUGGAAAGUAAAUUUUCCCAUACAUAUGUGAGUUUUAUAAAGUAAGAAAUACUCUUGUAUAUCAAAGCCUAUAUUUAAUUUUUGUAACAUGUGAACAUCCUAAACAUGUUCAAAAUCUUCAUCAUUACCAUAUAAUUCUUUCGUAUAAUCAAAUCUAGUAAUUCCAAUAGAAAAGCUCACUAAAUAAAUUAUUUUUCACUUAAUGUAUGUGCCACUUUAAAAAAUGAAUUCUCUAUUAUUAUCUAUCACAUUAUCAUAUGAGGUGAACUUUUCUGAACACCUAAAAUAUAACUUUCUAAAUCAGUCAUCAAUGCAAAAAGUUACUUCAAAGUUACAUUCACUUCGUCAGAUCUAUGAUCAUUUUCUCUUGAAACUUAAUAAAAUCAGAUCAUGAGAUAAUGCAUACCUCUAGAGCAUCUUCUUCAGUAAUCUAAACUAUUUUACUUUAAGAUAUUUUUGAAGGCGAAUUCGCAAAAUUCAUCAUGACUCUAAUAUUGAUUGAUGAAAUGGAGUUGCAGAAGAUGCAGAUAUUUAGGUUCGAAUCCACAAUGCUUAAACCUAGAUGGGGGGAAUCAAUCAUGAAUUCACAAAACUAAAUCCACAAGGGGGACAGCUUUGAAUCCGCAAGGUUGAAGGUACAACCCUUAAGUCAACAAGGAGGGUGCCUACAUCUACAAAUAGAAAUAAAGAGUAUGUCAAACGAUUAAAAUUUGAUUCUCAAGGUUACACUUGUAGGCCCUUAUAUAGGACCAGGGAAGGGGGGAGCGUCUCAUAAGGCUAAAGAGACUUUGACAAAAGUAAAACACUCCAAAACGAAAACAAACUCUAAAAAUAAAAAAUCAAAAUAUAAUUUAAAUUAACAUAAAUAAAAACCUAAAAAAUAACAAAAACACACUCUAGACAUCUUAAUAGAGCUCCGAUGGGUCUUCUUGUACUUUUAGAAGGCUCAAUAUGAUUUUGGGCUACUUUUCUCACGUUUUCCUCUUUAAGGCCCAACACUGAAUCUUUUGGGCUCAAUUUUGAGUCUUUUAAGCGUUCUGGGCUACUUGGGCAUUCAAGGUUGCAUCACUUCUCCAACUCCUUGAGAAGCUUCUAGUUCUCCACCGCCCUGAUUAAAUUGCAAAUGGCCUCAAGAUGAGAACCAUCCGCCACUCGGGAUCUGCCGGCCACUCGGGAUCCUCCUCCACCUCCACCACCACCACGACCUCCCCCCCGGCUCCAUUGCAGACUGUUCCUUAAUGGGCCUGAUAGACCCCGACACACUGGGCCGGCCCAAAUACCGAAUGUACGACUGUAAAUAUAAAUAGAAUAUUUAUAUUUUUUUAAUAAUAAAAGCCGGACAUCUCGGCGGGUACAACGACCUUCGGAGCCUCACCGAACUCGCCCUAAUUUUUUAUAAUAUUUUUUAAAAAAUUAUAUAUUUACAAAGCGAAUAUGCUGUUGCUUAACGCUACGGACUUCGUGAUACCCCCCGCUCCCACUCCCUCUCGGCAGAAAGCGUGGAAAAUGGGCACGAAUGGAUCACCGUUGAUGAUGAUGGGGUAUACCAUAUGGACGGUCAAGAUGAGCAUUCAGCACGACGGCGGGGCACUGUUAUAAACUGGAAGCGCGGCCGCCGGCGGACGUGGGAGCGGCGGCGUCAUGAGGAGUCUCGGGGCAGCUCUCCUCGUCGUCGUCAUUUUCUCUCUCUUCUCCCCCUCUCUCUCCUCUGCGUACGGCGCUGCUCGUGGGGUGAGAGAGUUCGACUACUUCCUCCUGAGCCUUCAGUGGCCGGGCACCUUCUGCCGGAGGACUCGCCACUGCUGCCCCUCCAACGGUUGCUGCAAGGGGUUUUCCUCUUCUCCCCUCUCUCUCUCUCUCUCUCUCUACGUUCCUUUUCUUCGUNNNNNNNNNNNNNNNNNNNNCUUCUCCCUCCUCUCUCUCUCUCUCUCUCUAGCCUUUUUCUUCUGGCGGUAGAUUGAAUUUCUCGUAGAUUGCUUGGUUUGGGGCUUUUGCUCCGUCGGAUCUCUUUAGACGGAUGAAGACGGGAUAAACGAUUGAACGGCUACGAAUAUUGCCUGGAUAGCAUCGUGAUCCGAUAAAAGAGAUUUGACAGAUUUUAUCGAAUUGAAAGACUCUCUAUUCAUUCAAUGUUGUCCGUCCGUCCACAUGCAGAGGCGUCGAUGUUAUUUUUCGCUAUCGAUUGCUUCCUCUUUCUUGGCCAGUUGCGCACACGCAGAUUUAUGUGCUAAAAUGUUCGGUGUUCAUCUUCGCGGAAGCAUCCGUGCAAUUAGGCAAUGUGAGACGUGAGUAGGGGGAUUCUUAUGCCGCGCGUAGUCGAUUACUCGUCUGAUGUCGUACAUGCAUCGACAUUUCUUAUCCUAUUUUUUCUCCAUCUUGAUUUCCUUAUGUUUUAUUUUCCUGCAUUUUUUGCGUCGCAUAUUUUGUGCAUAUCAUCCGCUGAUAGUCAUUUUUUUUUAUUUUAAACUUUAUUUUGAAUUUUACGGUAAUGAAUAACGUGGGCUUGAUUAUAUCAUCGUUAUUUGUCUUUUUAUCCCAAUCGCUUAAUCGAAUCAGCGAGAAGAACUUGACUGGUUAAUGUCUAUGCAGGUCUGUAGCUUUAGACGACUUCACAAUCCGUAAGUGCAAUGACGACAGAUUAAUUUAACCACUUAUGGAUUUGAUUUUAAGCAGACAAACCCUGAAGCUUAAGCUUACAUGCUUCAUCUCUACAUAUGUAUUCGUAACAGACGGAUUGUGGCCAAAUUACGAUGAUGGAACCUGGCCAGCUUGCUGCAGCAACAACCGUUUUGAUGUGAAAAAGGUCCUGUCACAAAUCAUACACGGAAUUUUUUCUCUGUCGCAUAGUAUUUGCAGUAUCCCAUUCUUUUUAACUCCUUUAAAUUCUUCUUAAUCAAAGCUUCAAUCACAGGUUUCACCCUUGAUUGGGAAUCUUUCAAAAUAUUGGCCAACGUUAAGCUGUAGCUCUUCAUCUACCUGUCAUGGUGGAAAAGGACUUUUUUGGGCGCAUGAGGUGCUUCAUUACUUAUAACUUUUAUAAAGCCGCCUUAUCAUAUUUACUGACAGACAAUUUCUAUGUUUUGUUUGAUGUACAUUCAUCUGCGUGGACGCUCAUGUGCAGUGGGGUAAGUUAUUUCCUUCGAAACUUCUGUAUGCGGCUGAUUAUUUUCCUGGGUGAAGCAGAGAGUCUUGUCCUCACCAUUUGGAUUAUGAAAAAAUAACUGAGAAUAAAAUAAUUGCCGAGCUAUCAUAGUUUUAUUUAUUGAUUAAAACACGACCGUCCUUUUCUUUUUCUAUCUGGGUACUGGCAUCCCUAAUCUACACUUUGCAUUCCCUUUUUGCGUCGCUACUAUCUACUGUGACUCUUUUGGGGGAUUUUUAUGUGUCAUGUUUAUUUGUAUUAAAAACACUUAUUCCAUUUUGACUCUCUUGCUUGCAGAAAAACAUGGUACUUGCUCCUCUCCGGUAAUAAAGGACGAAUACAGCUACUUCUCGACGACUCUUGACCUUUACUUCAAGUAUAAUAUAACGGUUCGUUCUAACGCAUUCGG
This 7555-nucleotide long non-coding RNA is filed under the name Spirodela polyrhiza (greater duckweed). RNAcentral's name for it is "long non-coding RNA (SPOL_LNC002135)". Lineage: Eukaryota; Viridiplantae; Streptophyta; Magnoliopsida; Alismatales; Araceae. The record is from RNAcentral.